This is a non-coding RNA of Podarcis lilfordi (Lilford's wall lizard), 69 nucleotides long. NCBI's taxonomy places the organism in Eukaryota, Metazoa, Chordata, Lepidosauria, Squamata, Lacertidae. The record is from the annotation of a GenBank genome assembly.
GGCAGUGUGGUGUAGUGGUUAGAAUGUCAGACAUUCUGGGAGACCAGAGUUCAAAUCCCUGCUUAGCCA